GAUGAAGAACGCAACGAAAUGCGAUAAGUAAUGUGAAUUGCAGAAUUCAGUGAAUCAUCGAAUCUUUGAACGCACAUUGCGCCCCCUGGUAUUCCGGGGGGCAUGCCUGUCCGAGCGUCAUUACAACCCUCAAGCUCUGCUUGGUGUUGGGCCCCGCCGCCCCGGCGGGCCCUAAAGUCAGUGGCGGUGCCAUCCGGCUCCGAGCGUAGUAAUUCUUCUCGCUCUGGAGGUCCGGUUGUGUGCUUGCCAUCAACCCCCAAUUUUUUUCAGGUUGACCUCGGAUCAGGUAGGGAUACCCGCUGAACUUAAGCAUAUCAAUAAGCGGAGGA
Molecule: unclassified non-coding RNA, 329 nt
Filed under: soil metagenome
Description: partial contains 5.8S ribosomal RNA, internal transcribed spacer 2, and large subunit ribosomal RNA
Rfam family: 5.8S ribosomal RNA (bases 1-120)
Source: RNAcentral